This 516-nucleotide ribosomal RNA is filed under the name uncultured bacterium. RNAcentral's name for it is "bacterial SSU rRNA". It matches the Rfam family "Bacterial small subunit ribosomal RNA", at positions 15 to 518 of the family's 1533-position model. The record is from RNAcentral.
GAUUACUGGCUCAGGAUGAACGCUAGCUACAGGCUUAACACAUGCAAGUCGAGGGGCAGCAUGGGAGUUGCUUGCAAUUCCUGAUGGCGACCGGCGCACGGGUGAGUAACGCGUAUCCAACCUUCCCCUUAGUAGGGCAUAGCCCGGUGAAAAUCGGAUUAAUACCCUAUGUUUUCCAAUGCAGACAUCUAAAAUGGAACAAAGGUUUACCGCUAAGGGAUGGGGAUGCGUCUGAUUAGGUAGUAGGCGGGGUAACGGCCCACCUAGCCUUCGAUCAGUAGGGGUUCUGAGAGGAAGGUCCCCCACAUUGGAACUGAGACACGGUCCAAACUCCUACGGGAGGCAGCAGUGAGGAAUAUUGGUCAAUGGGCGAGAGCCUGAACCAGCCAAGUAGCGUGCCAGGAUGACGGCCCUAUGGGUUGUAAACUGCUUUUAUAUGGGGAUAAAGUUCACCACGUGUGGUGUUUUGUAGGUACCAUAUGAAUAAGGACCGGCUAAUUCCGUGCCAGCAGCCGC